UACGUAGGGUGCGAGCGUUAUCCGGAAUAACUGGGCGUAAAGGGUACGUAGGCGGAUAAGCAAGUUAGAAGUGAAAGGCUAUAGCUCAACUAUAGUAAGCUUUUAAAACUGUUUAACUUGAGAGAUGGAAGGGAAAGUGGAAUUCCAUGUGUAGCGGUGAAAUGCGUAGAUAUUUAGAGGAACACCGGUGGCGAAGGCGACUCUCUGGUCUGUAACUGACGCUGAGGCUCGAAAGCGUGGGGAGCAAACAGG
This 252-nucleotide ribosomal RNA is filed under the name uncultured bacterium. RNAcentral describes it as "partial 16S ribosomal RNA". It matches the Rfam family "Bacterial small subunit ribosomal RNA", at positions 524 to 776 of the family's 1533-position model. The record is from RNAcentral.